AUUGAACGCUGGCGGCAUGCUUUACACAUGCAAGUCGAACGGUAACAGGUUAAGCUGACGAGUGGCGGACGGGUGAGUAAUGCAUCGGAACGUGCCUGAUCGUGGGGGAUAACGCAGCGAAAGCUGCGCUAAUACCGCAUACGAUCUGAGGAUGAAAGCGGGGGACCGUAAGGCCUCGCGCGAUCGGAGCGGGCGAUGUCAGAUUAGGUAGUUGGUGGGGUAAAGGCUCACCAAGCCAACGAUCUGUGGCUGGUCUGAGAGGACGACCAGCCACACUGGGACUGAGACACGGCCCAGACUCCUACGGGAGGCAGCAGUGGGGAAUUUUGGACAAUGGGCGAAAGCCUGAUCCAGCAAUGCCGCGUGCAGGAAGAAGGCCUUCGGGUUGUAAACUGCUUUUGUACGGAGCGAAAAGGCUCUCUCUAAUACAGGGGGCUCAUGACGGUACCGUAAGAAUAAGCACCGGCUAACUACGUGCCAGCCGCCGCAGUAA
Molecule: ribosomal RNA, 493 nt
Filed under: uncultured bacterium
Lineage: Bacteria
Description: partial 16S ribosomal RNA
Rfam family: Bacterial small subunit ribosomal RNA
Source: RNAcentral